GUGCUCACUUUGGCAGCACAUAUACUAAAACCAGAACGAUACAGACAAGAUCAGCACGGCCCCU
Molecule: small nuclear RNA, 64 nt
Filed under: Marmota marmota marmota (Alpine marmot)
Lineage: Eukaryota; Metazoa; Chordata; Mammalia; Rodentia; Sciuridae
Source: RNAcentral